RNAcentral lists this ribosomal RNA (282 nucleotides) under Triticum aestivum (bread wheat). RNAcentral describes it as "partial small subunit ribosomal RNA". The record is from RNAcentral. Lineage: Eukaryota; Viridiplantae; Streptophyta; Magnoliopsida; Poales; Poaceae.
AUGGCGGAGGAACCGUCUGCCAAACGUCAUCAUGCCGAGACGUCGGACAAGAGCAGCAACCUCGUCGACAUUCACGUCCUUGGCGAGAAGCGCGAGUACACAACAACCCUCACAGGGGUUGAGCUCCACGGCAACGAGACGCUGGAGAUCGUCUGGACCAGCGUACCAGAAAAGGCCGACGAGGUGAUCUCCAGGCUCUGGAGGAAGCUUGGUGGAAAGAGUCUGAAUUGUAGGAUCGUCGACGUUGGUGUGCACUACACCAACGAAGAUGAACCUCCCUAG